UGGGGAUUCGCCAAGCGGUGAAGGCACGGGAUUUUGACUCCCGCAUUACGCCGGUUCGAAUCCGGCAUCCCCAG
RNAcentral lists this transfer RNA (74 nucleotides) under Caudoviricetes sp. RNAcentral's name for it is "tRNA-Gln". It matches the Rfam family "tRNA". From Rfam's summary of the family: Transfer RNA (tRNA) molecules are approximately 80 nucleotides in length. The record is from RNAcentral. Lineage: Duplodnaviria; Heunggongvirae; Uroviricota; Caudoviricetes.